Hemicordylus capensis (graceful crag lizard) is the source of this 547-nucleotide long non-coding RNA. RefSeq lists it as uncharacterized. The transcript has 3 exons. Lineage: Eukaryota; Metazoa; Chordata; Lepidosauria; Squamata; Cordylidae. The record is from RefSeq and is a predicted model, not a curated record.
CUGGCCAAAAGGUUCCAUCAGUGAAGGCCAAAUUAAACAGCAGAUGUGCCUUCAGUGGACACUGGAGCGUGCUGCUUUACGAUGCUACCUUGCAACAGUGUUCCCUGUCCCAGAUGUUAACUACAACUCCCAGCAAUCCCAGCUGUGAUGCCUGAAGUCAGAUUUCUGCCUGGGAUGCCAUUUGACCUAGGACUGGCCCUGACCCCCAGCCACAUUGUUUGACAUUGAGGAUGAUGGGAGUUGUAGUCCAACCACAGCUGCAGAGCCUCAGGCUGGUCAUCUCUGCAUUAUAUGAUGCUGAGCAAGAAUGGGCUACAGUAUAAACAUGCCCCGUAGUGAGGUUAAGAGUAUCGAUGAAUGGGGAGUGGAGUAUGGAAAGGUUAAAUAAAUAGAUACUGAGGUCAUUCACACAUUCAAAAACUGUGUUCUACCCAGGUUUGGGAGCUGUGUGUGCUCCCAAUUUUUGGUUGUGUGGAAGCAAGAUAAGAGGAAAACCUGGGCAGAAGUGACUGUGUGGAAGCAAGGUAGGAGGAAAAGCUAGCCAGGU